Non-coding RNA from Danio rerio (zebrafish), 115 nucleotides. The record is from Rfam. Lineage: Eukaryota; Metazoa; Chordata; Actinopteri; Cypriniformes; Danionidae.
GCUGGCAGCUAGCUUUCGGCAACUCUCACAAUGUCACCCACUGAAAUCAAGCAGGGCUGCACCCGUUCAGUACCGGGAUGGGAGACCACAUGGGAAAGCUAGGUUGCUGCUGGAA